Molecule: ribosomal RNA, 467 nt
Filed under: uncultured Ochrobactrum sp.
Lineage: Bacteria; Pseudomonadati; Pseudomonadota; Alphaproteobacteria; Hyphomicrobiales; Brucellaceae
Description: bacterial SSU rRNA
Rfam family: Bacterial small subunit ribosomal RNA
Source: RNAcentral
AGAGUUGAUUAUGGCUCAGAGCGAACGCUGGCGGCAGGCUUAACACAUGCAAGUCGAGCGGGCGUAGCAAUACGUCAGCGGCAGACGGGUGAGUAACGCGUGGGAACGUACCUUUUGGUUCGGAACAACACAGGGAAACCUGUGCUAAUACCGGAUAAGCCCUUACGGGGAAAGAUUUAUCGCCGAAAGAUCGGCCCGCGUCUGAUUAGCUAGUUGGUGAGGUAACGGCUCACCAAGGCGACGAUCAGUAGCUGGUCUGAGAGGAUGAUCAGCCACAUUGGGACUGAGACACGGCCCAAACUCCUACGGGAGGCAGCAGUGGGGAAUAUUGGACAAUGGGCGCAAGCCUGAUCCAGCCAUGCCGCGUGAGUGAUGAAGGCCCUAGGGUUGUAAAGCUCUUUUGUGCGGGAAGAUAAUGACUGUACCGCAAGAAUAAGCCCCGGCUAACUUCGUGCCAGCCGCCGCGA